GACCGCUCUACAACCAUGUGAACACUCUAGAACCAUGUGACCGCUCUACAACCACGUGAACACUCUAGAACCAUGUGAACACUCUAGAACCAUGUGACCGCUCUAGAACCAUGUGAACACUCUAGAACCAUGUGACCGCUCUACAACCACGUGACCGCUCUACAACCAUGUGAACACUCUAGAACCAUUUGAACACCCUAGAACCAUGUGAAAACUCUAGAACCAUGUGAACACUCUAGAACCAUGUGAACAUUCUAGAACCAUGUGACCACUCUAGAACCUUUUGAACAUUCUUGAACCAUGUGAACACUCUAGAACCAUGUGACCGCUCUAGAACCAUGUGAACACUCUAGAACCAUGUGACCGCUCUACAACCAUGUGAACACUCUAGAACCAUGUGACCGCUCUACAACCACGUGACCGCUCUACAACCAUGUGACCGCUCUACAACCACGUGACCGCUCUACAACCACGUGAACUCUAUAGAACCAUGUGAACACUCUAGAACCAUGUGACCGCUCUACAACCAUGUGAACACUCUAGAACCAUGUGACCGCUCUACAACCACGUGAACACUCUAGAACCAUGUGAACACUCUAGAACCAUGUGACCGCUCUAGAACCAUGUGAACACUCUAGAACCAUGUGACCGCUCUACAACCACGUGACCGCUCUACAACCACGUGACCGCUCUACAACCACGUGACCGCUCUACAACCACGUGAACUCUAUAGAACCAUGUGAACACUCUAGAACCAUGUGACCGCUCUACAACCAUGUGAACACUCUAGAACCAUGUGAACACUCUAGAACCAUGUGACCGCUCUACAACCAUGUGAACUCUAUAGAACCAUGUGAACACUCUAGAACCAUGCAUGUGAACUCUAUAGAACCAUGUGAACACUCUAGAACCAUGUGACCGCUCUAGAACGUGGCCUCUGUUGAACUUCCCACAUCAAGGGUCAGUGGAUGCCAUUCCAUAUUUGUUUCUGUCAAGUUCACUCUCUCACUCAUCUUCUUUCUCUCUCUCCCCCCCCCUCUCUCUCUGUCUCUCUCUCUCCUCCUGGACAGCUGUGUGUGUGUGUGGUUCCUCUCUGUCCUCAGGCCCUAUAUUACAGUCUGUACUGGGAACCAUUAACGACAUAUUCUAUAUUACUGUUUACCUGUUACCCUCUUCUGACUGUGCAGGUUGGUUGGUACUAUAAUAAUGCAUCUCGUGACCGGUAUAGAGGAUCUGAUCUAAUUGACUAUAGUCCAGGGAGGCACUUCCGUUUGAGUAUGUAGGACAUAAAUAAGAGGGUUAAAGUUCAAGGCACUAGAAAACUCAUUUGACUAUUUUGUUUUUCUAUGCACAUUUUGUUCCGUGUUUCAAUUUUGUUCUGUAUAGGCCAUAAUAUGUAUAUAAUACAAAUUAAAAAUACAUAAAUGCUGUAAAAAUGAAUAGCAAUAUGGAAGUCACCAUUUUCUUAUUGAGGGUAAUACUACCGUAGGCUCCAUGCAGAGAAGCAGAAGCUAAACAUGAAAUAUUAUAUUUUUUUAGUGAGGAGGGAGGGGGUUUGGUAUCCCAGUUAGGUGUCCUCCUCUGUGGGGAGGGGGGGUUUUGGUAUCCCAGUUAGGUGUCCUCCUCUGUGGGGAGGGAGGGGGGUUUGGUAUCCCAGUUAGGUGUCCUCCUCUGUGGGGAGGGAGGGGGGUUUGGUAUCCCGGUAGGUGUCCUCCUCUGUGGGGAGGGGG
Oncorhynchus tshawytscha (Chinook salmon) is the source of this 1730-nucleotide long non-coding RNA. The record is from Ensembl. NCBI's taxonomy places the organism in Eukaryota, Metazoa, Chordata, Actinopteri, Salmoniformes, Salmonidae.